RNAcentral lists this unclassified non-coding RNA (244 nucleotides) under Chroococcus subviolaceus CCIBt3549. RNAcentral's name for it is "partial contains 16S-23S ribosomal RNA intergenic spacer and 23S ribosomal RNA". The record is from RNAcentral. Lineage: Bacteria; Bacillati; Cyanobacteriota; Cyanophyceae; Chroococcales; Chroococcaceae.
UUUUAAGGGAGACCUUCAGGGAGUGGGAACCCAAUUUAACCCCACCAUCUACUGAACAUCCCAAGGUCGUGCCAGAAUAGUGAUGUCUCUUUCCAACUAAAGAUAGGUUUGUUUAAAAGCACCUUGAAAACUGCAUAGAAAAUAGGUAGAGUCAUGAUAUCAGAGUAAAAUCAUGAUAUCAGUAGAAAAAAAAGGUCAAGCUACAAAGAGCUAACGGUGGAUACCUAGGCACACAGAGGCGAAG